CCCAAUCCGCCGUUUCUUAUUAUUGCAAGUCGAGCGGACAGAUGGGAGCUUGCUCCCUGAUGUUAGCGGCGGACGGGUGAGUAACACGUGGGUAACCUGCCUGUAAGACUGGGAUAACUCCGGGAAACCGGGGCUAAUACCGGAUGCUUGUUUGAACCGCAUGGUUCAAACAUAAAAGGUGGCUUCGGCUACCACUUACAGAUGGACCCGCGGCGCAUUAGCUAGUUGGUGAGGUAACGGCUCACCAAGGCAACGAUGCGUAGCCGACCUGAGAGGGUGAUCGGCCACACUGGGACUGAGACACGGCCCAGACUCCUACGGGAGGCAGCAGUAGGGAAUCUUCCGCAAUGGACGAAAGUCUGACGGAGCAACGCCGCGUGAGUGAUGAAGGUUUUCGGAUCGUAAAGCUCUGUUGUUAGGGAAGAACAAGUACCGUUCGAAUAGGGCGGUACCUUGACGGUACCUAACCAGAAAGCCACGGCUAACUACGUGCCAGCAGCCGCGGUAAUACGUAGGUGGCAAGCGUUGUCCGGAAUUAUUGGGCGUAAAGGGCUCGCAGGCGGUUUCUUAAGUCUGAUGUGAAAGCCCCCGGCUCAACCGGGGAGGGUCAUUGGAAACUGGGGGAACUUGAGUGCAGAAGAGGAGAGUGGAAUUCCACGUGUAGCGGUGAAAUGCGUAGAGAUGUGGAGGAACACCAGUGGCGAAGGCGACUCUCUGGUCUGUAACUGACGCUGAGGAGCGAAAGCGUGGGGAGCGAACAGGAUUAGAUACCCUGGUAGUCCACGCCGUAAACGAUGAGUGCUAAGUGUUAGGGGGUUUCCGCCCCUUAGUGCUGCAGCUAACGCAUUAAGCACUCCGCCUGGGGAGUACGGUCGCAAGACUGAAACUCAAAGGAAUUGACGGGGGGCCCGCACAAGCGGGUGGAGCAUGUGGUUUAAUUUCGAAGCAAACGUCGAAGAAUCUUUACUCAAGGUCUUGACAUCCUCUUGAACAAAUCCUAGAAAGAAUAGGACCGUUCCCCUUUCGGGGGCAGAGUGACCAGGUGGUGCAUUGCUUGUCGUUCAGCUCGUGUUCGUGAGAUGUUGGGUAAAGUCCCGCAACCGAAGCCGCAACUCAUUGAAUCCUAGAUGCAAGCAAUCAAGUUCGCACUCCUAGUUGACUGUCUGCUGACAAACCGGCAGGAAAGAU
This 1188-nucleotide ribosomal RNA is filed under the name Bacillus inaquosorum. Its description in RNAcentral is "bacterial SSU rRNA". It matches the Rfam family "Bacterial small subunit ribosomal RNA", at positions 34 to 1176 of the family's 1533-position model. Lineage: Bacteria; Bacillati; Bacillota; Bacilli; Caryophanales; Bacillaceae. The record is from RNAcentral.